GUUUUCUACUUUCGUUUUUUUUGAUACGAUUCCACCCGCAUCUGUGCGACAGUUUUUAAAACACGUUUUUGAAACGACUUAUAUGGAUGAAUUAAGCAAUGUGAUGGAUGUUUUACACGUCCGAGGAGUCAGUAUGGAACUAACAGAAAUUCUAGAUGAUACAAAAGAUGAUGUGUCAAUGACAAAGAGAAUAGCAAUGUUAGAUGGGGAGAAGUAUGAAUUGGAAUCUCCAACUCUUCAAAUAUGGUACAAGCUGGACGUUGUGCAGAUCUUCUCAAGUUACCUGUAAACUGGCACUCAUAUGCCUUCAUAGAUUUAUU
Ostrea edulis (European flat oyster) is the source of this 320-nucleotide long non-coding RNA. RefSeq lists it as uncharacterized. NCBI's taxonomy places the organism in Eukaryota, Metazoa, Mollusca, Bivalvia, Ostreida, Ostreidae. The transcript is spliced from 3 exons. The record is from RefSeq and is a predicted model, not a curated record.